Molecule: ribosomal RNA, 253 nt
Filed under: uncultured bacterium
Lineage: Bacteria
Description: partial 16S ribosomal RNA
Rfam family: Bacterial small subunit ribosomal RNA
Source: RNAcentral
UACGUAGGGUGCAAGCGUUGUCCGGAAUUAUUGGGCGUAAAGAGCUCGUAGGCGGUUCGUCGCGUCGGCUGUGAAAUCCCGAGGCUCAACCUCGGGUCUGCAGUCGAUACGGGCGGGCUAGAGUUCGGUAGGGGAGACUGGAAUUCCUGGUGUAGCGGUGAAAUGCGCAGAUAUCAGGAGGAACACCGGUGGCGAAGGCGGGUCUCUGGGCCGAUACUGACGCUGAGGAGCGAAAGCGUGGGGAGCGAACAGG